Molecule: transfer RNA, 74 nt
Filed under: Podarcis lilfordi (Lilford's wall lizard)
Lineage: Eukaryota; Metazoa; Chordata; Lepidosauria; Squamata; Lacertidae
Description: tRNA.Ile
Source: RNAcentral
GCCUGGAUAGCUCAGUCAGUUAGAGAGUGGUGCCGAUAAUGUCAAGGUUGCAGGUUCGAUCCCUGUAUGGGACG